This 417-nucleotide ribosomal RNA is filed under the name uncultured microorganism. Its description in RNAcentral is "bacterial SSU rRNA". It matches the Rfam family "Archaeal small subunit ribosomal RNA", at positions 330 to 745 of the family's 1478-position model. The record is from RNAcentral.
GCGCACCAGUCGAGAAACCUCCGCAAUGCGGGAAACCGCGACGGGGGACCCCGAGUGCCGUGGCAACGCCACGGCUUUUCCGGAGUGUAAAAAGCUCCGGGAAUAAGGGCUGGGCAAGGCCGGUGGCAGCCGCCGCGGUAAUACCGGCGGCCCGAGUGGUGGCCGCUAUUAUUGGGCCUAAAGCGUCCGUAGCCGGGCCCGUAAGUCCCUGGCGAAAUCCCACGGCUCAACCGUGGGGCUUGCUGGGGAUACUGCGGGUCUUGGGACCGGGAGAGGCGGGGGGUACCCCUGGGGUAGGGGUGAAAGUCCUAUAAUCCCCAGGGGGACCGCCAGUGGCGAAGGCGCCCCGCUGGAACGGGUCCGACGGUGAGGGACGAAGGCCAGGGGAGCAAAACCGGAUUAGAUACCCCGUGUAGU